RNAcentral lists this ribosomal RNA (546 nucleotides) under uncultured bacterium. Its description in RNAcentral is "bacterial SSU rRNA". It matches the Rfam family "Bacterial small subunit ribosomal RNA", at positions 102 to 683 of the family's 1533-position model. The record is from RNAcentral.
ACGGGUGAGUAACGCGUGGGAACGUGCCUUCCGGUUCGGAAUAACCCUGGGAAACUAGGGCUAAUACCGGAUACGCCCUUAUGGGGAAAGGUUUACUGCCGGAAGAUCGGCCCGCGUCUGAUUAGCUAGUUGGUGGGGUAACGGCCUACCAAGGCGACGAUCAGUAGCUGGUCUGAGAGGAUGAUCAGCCACACUGGGACUGAGACACGGCCCAGACUCCUACGGGAGGCAGCAGUGGGGAAUAUUGGACAAUGGGCGCAAGCCUGAUCCAGCCAUGCCGCGUGAGUGAUGAAGGCCUUAGGGUUGUAAAGCUCUUUUAUCCGGGACGAUAAUGACGGUACCGGAGGAAUAAGCCCCGGCUAACUUCGUGCCAGCAGCCGCGGUAAUACGAAGGGGGCUAGCGUUGCUCGGAAUCACUGGGCGUAAAGGGCGCGUAGGCGGCGUUUUAAGUCGGGGGUGAAAGCCUGUGGCUCAACCACAGAAUGGCCUUCGAUACUGGGACGCUUGAGUAUGGUAGAGGUUGGUGGAACUGCGAGUGUAGAGGUG